GAAAAGUCCUAUACACCAACCCAAUUUCAAUAAUGCAAAUAGUGCGAGACAACAAGCUCAACCCCAAAUUUAUAAUAUCAACAAAAAUGAUUUUCGGAGUAUUGUUCAGCAGUUGACUGGUUCGCCAUCUCAAGAACCUCAACCUAGACCUCCUCAUAAUCCACCAAAGCCUCCAAGUAUGAGAUUGCAAAGAAUUCGACCUCCCCCGUUGGCACCAAUUAAUCGCCCCCGAAUUCCCAUGCACCCUCCAGCACCAAUGCCAGUCCCA
RNAcentral lists this unclassified non-coding RNA (268 nucleotides) under Hevea brasiliensis (rubber tree). Lineage: Eukaryota; Viridiplantae; Streptophyta; Magnoliopsida; Malpighiales; Euphorbiaceae. The record is from RNAcentral.